Long non-coding RNA from Suricata suricatta (meerkat), 420 nucleotides. RefSeq lists it as uncharacterized. The record is from RefSeq and is a predicted model, not a curated record. Lineage: Eukaryota; Metazoa; Chordata; Mammalia; Carnivora; Herpestidae. The transcript has 2 exons.
AGAUGAAGAGUUGUCUUACCUCCAAGUCCACUACUGGAGAGUGUGAUGCGCUGGGAGAAGAUGUUUAUCAGCAUUUUAUUAAGUGCUGCUUGAGAGAAACAGGAUAAAACUAUCACCAUUAAGCACUUUGAAACAGGACCCAAAAGCCACUGGUUUUCAUUGCUAAAAUCAAGAGUAACACCAGAGGGCAUUUCUGUUAAAGAGUGAGGUGGAAGAAAGUAAGGUUGAAUGCAGCCAGUCUUUUUAGAGGGUAAAAAAAAAAGUGUGAGCAGAGACCAGCAGGUGAAAAGUCUGCAGCCACCUGGAUGUGCGUGCCCCGGGGAAAAUGGUUGCGGAUGGCUUUGCUGCUUUCGUCUGGAUUGAUCUUAUAAAUCGUAAUGAGUCACAUUAGUAAAACAAAAACAAAAACAAAAAGCUUUA